AGAGUUUGAUCCUGGCUCAGGAUGAACGCUAGCGGCAGGCUUAAUACAUGCAAGUCGUGGGGCAGCAGGUCCGUAGCAAUACGGAUGCUGGCGACCGGCAAACGGGUGCGUAACACGUACGCAAUCUUCCUUCAGGUGGGGGAUAGCCCGGGGAAACCCGGAUUAAUACCCCAUAAUAUUUUAAGAUGGCAUCAUCUUAUUAUUAAAGCUUCGGCACCUGAUGAUGAGCGUGCGGCUGAUUAGGUAGUUGGCGGGGUAACGGCCCACCAAGCCAGCGAUCAGUAGCUGAUGUGAGAGCAUGAUCAGCCACACGGGCACUGAGACACGGGCCCGACUCCUACGGGAGGCAGCAGUAAGGAAUAUUGGUCAAUGGACGAAAGUCUGAACCAGCCAUGCCGCGUGGAGGAUGAAGGUCCUCUGGAUUGUAAACUUCUUUUAUUUGGGACGAAAAAGGGAAAUUCUUUUCCACUUGACGGUACCAGAUGAAUAAGCACCGGCUAACUCCGUGCCAGCAGCCGCGGUAAUACGGAGGGUGCAAGCGUUAUCCGGAUUCACUGGGUUUAAAGGGUGCGUAGGCGGAUAGGUAAGUCCGUGGUGAAAUCCUGCAGCUUAACUGCAGAACUGCCGUGGAUACUAUUUAUCUUGAAUGUCGUGGAGGUUAGCAGAAUAUGUCAUGUAGCGGUGAAAUGCUUAGAUAUGACAUAGAAUACCCAUUGCGAAGGCAGCUAACUACGCGAUAAUUGACGCUGAUGCACGAAAGCGUGGGGAUCAAACAGGAUUAGAUACCCUGGUAGUCCACG
Molecule: ribosomal RNA, 800 nt
Filed under: uncultured bacterium
Lineage: Bacteria
Description: bacterial SSU rRNA
Rfam family: Bacterial small subunit ribosomal RNA
Source: RNAcentral